AAAAGAAAAGAAAAGAAAAACGAAAAAUCGAAACCUAGUCCAAAUUGACCCCUUUUGUCUAUUAUCAUGUCCGUAUCACCAACUUUU
RNAcentral lists this non-coding RNA (87 nucleotides) under uncultured eukaryote. The record is from RNAcentral.